AUUGAACGCUGGCGGCAUGCCUUACACAUGCAAGUCGAACGGUAACAGGUCUUCGGAUGCUGACGAGUGGCGAACGGGUGAGUAAUACAUCGGAACGUGCCUAGUAGUGGGGGAUAACUACUCGAAAGAGUGGCUAAUACCGCAUGAGAUCUACGGAUGAAAGCAGGGGAUCGCAAGACCUUGUGCUACUAGAGCGGCCGGUGGCAGAUUAGGUAGUUGGUGGGAUAAAAGCUUACCAAGCCGACGAUCUGUAGCUGGUCUGAGAGGACGAUCAGCCACACUGGGACUGAGACACGGCCCAGACUCCUACGGGAGGCAGCAGUGGGGGAUGUUGGACAAUGAGCGCAAGCCUGAUCCAGCAACGCCGCGUGCAGGAUGAAGGCCUUCGGGUUGUAAACUGCUUUUGUACGGAACGAAAAGCCCCGGGUUAAUACCCUGGGGUCAUGACGGUACCGUAAGAAUAAGCACCGGCUAACUACGUGCCAGCCGCCGCAGUAA
Molecule: ribosomal RNA, 498 nt
Filed under: uncultured bacterium
Lineage: Bacteria
Description: partial 16S ribosomal RNA
Rfam family: Bacterial small subunit ribosomal RNA
Source: RNAcentral